RNAcentral lists this ribosomal RNA (492 nucleotides) under uncultured bacterium. Its description in RNAcentral is "partial 16S ribosomal RNA". It matches the Rfam family "Bacterial small subunit ribosomal RNA", at positions 29 to 507 of the family's 1533-position model. The record is from RNAcentral.
AGUGAACGCUGGCGGUAGGCCUAACACAUGCAAGUCGAACGGCAGCACAGUAAGAGCUUGCUCUUACGGGUGGCGAGUGGCGGACGGGUGAGGAAUACAUCGGAAUCUACUUUUUCGUGGGGGAUAACGUAGGGAAACUUACGCUAAUACCGCAUACGACCUACGAGUGAAAGCAGGGGAUCUUCGGACCUUGCGCGAAUGAAUGAGCCGAUGUCGGAUUAGCUAGUUGGCGGGGUAAAGGCCCACCAAGGCGACGAUCCGUAGCUGGUCUGAGAGGAUGAUCAGCCACACUGGAACUGAGACACGGUCCAGACUCCUACGGGAGGCAGCAGAGGGGAAUAUUGGACAAUGGGCGCAAGCCUGAUCCAGCCAUACCGCGUGGGUGAAGAAGGCCUUCGGGUUGUAAAGCCCUUUUGUUGGGAAAGAAAAGCAGCAGGUUAAUACCCCGCUGUUCUGACGGUACCCAAAGAAUAAGCACCGGCUAACUUCGUG